UUGCAUUCCGUACCAGUUACGCUACACACACAACUCAACAAAUAAUUUUGACUCAAUAUAUAUAUAUAUUAUUUUAUUCUUUAAGAAAUAAAACCAGGAUGGACUUUUCUACCAAAGUGUCGCAUUUUUUCUUCAUGGCCGUGUUUCUCGCAGUAAGUGAUUGUUCAAAUGGCCAAGAAAUUUGCAACGAUGGCGCAGAAUUUUGGCCACACCCAGAUUGUAAAUUUUACUAUCAUUGCUCCGGUGGGGUCCCUGUGCUGCGAGAAUGUCCCCCCACUUUGUACGGGAACCAAAAUUUAGUCGUGUGCGACCAUCCGCUAAACGUUCCUGAGUGUGUGGGCGGGACUCGACCCCCACCCAGCACCACAACCACGAGACCAACGACGACCACGGAAGCUCCACAUCAUCAAAUUAUCCGCAUAAGGCGACCUUCCACCAAUACGGCGAUAACGGUGGAAGAACGUAAGCUGGACAAUGGAACAAUCCUUCACACUGCGUCAUUCGGUGGAGUGGGGUGCUCAGACACGGCACAGAUUUGGAAAAUGGUUCAUAUUGAAGGGACAAACACCACAAUGUUUCUGUCCGCGUUGAGUGGAGGUGGGAUUGACAUGUUUCAGUAUGCCAUGUUUUCAGAGUAUGGGAUUCGAGUACCAUUCCUUUACAAUAUUGACGACACGUAUUAUAAUCCGUACUGGAUUUUGCACCCCGUUCCAGGACAACCAAGCACUCGUGUUGUGCUCCAAUCGCUUGCAUACACAGAUAUGGACACUGUUAUGGCAUAUGAUCCAAUCUGCAACGAAUCUGAAUCUGUAAUUUGUAAUAAAAAUCUGUAACGUCCUACUGGAUUGGUAAUAUUUGGUUUUUGAGUCGUGAUUAUCACAACCUUCCUGAAAGAGCAGCUGGUUUCUACGACUUGUCUCUACUUCCCCUAAAUUCAAGCGACCCGUCGCAGUGGUUUGAUUUAGAAUGGUGCUAACUCUCCUUCCCCAAUAAAUGAUUUGAACUAAUUAUUUACAAAAGAGAGAUAAUAAAUAAAGGUUGAAUUAUGUCAAAUUA
Molecule: RNA transcript, 1056 nt
Organism: Folsomia candida
Lineage: Eukaryota; Metazoa; Arthropoda; Collembola; Entomobryomorpha; Isotomidae
Exons: 7
Source: RefSeq, a predicted model, not a curated record